Molecule: ribosomal RNA, 484 nt
Filed under: uncultured bacterium
Lineage: Bacteria
Description: partial 16S ribosomal RNA
Rfam family: Bacterial small subunit ribosomal RNA
Source: RNAcentral
AUUGAACGCUGGCGGAAUGCUUUACACAUGCAAGUCGAGCGGCAGCGCGGCCUUCGGGCUGGCGGCGAGCGGCGAACGGGUGAGUAAUGCAUCGGAACAUGCCCAGUCGUGGGGGAUAACACUUCGAAAGAAGUGCUAAUACCGCAUACGUCCUGAGGGGGAAAGCGGGGGAUCGCAAGACCUCGCGCGAUUGGAGUGGCCGAUGUCAGAUUAGCUAGUUGGUGGGGUAAAGGCCUACCAAGGCGACGAUCUGUAGCUGGUCUGAGAGGAUGAUCAGCCACACUGGGACUGAGACACGGCCCAGACUCCUACGGGAGGCAGCAGUGGGGAAUUUUGGACAAUGGGGGCAACCCUGGUCCAGCCAUUCCGCGUGAGUGAAGAAGGCCUUCGGGUUGUAAAGCUCUUUCAGCAGGAACGAAACGGUGGGCUCUAACAUAGUCCGCUAAUGACGGUACCUGAAGAAGAAGCACCGGCUAACUACGUG